AAUAAAAUAACGCAAGGACUAAAAGGAGAAUUUCCAAAAGAGAUACAAAGUCAAUGCUUUGGUCUUUCGAGUCUAUCGCUUCCGAGCCCUAAAAACAAAACCGGAAGCUCGAGAUCCAAUGGCUGAGACAUCGUCUCCGGCGAUCGCCGGCGAAUCCCAGCCGUCCAUCCCCACCUCCUCCAUCGUCUCCAUCAACGUCGGCGGCGAGCUGUUCCAAACUACCACGCAAACCCUCUCCGCCGCCGGCGCUGGCUCCGUCCUAGCCACCCUACCCGCCGGCUCCGUCUCCUUCUUCGACCGUGACCCUUCUCUCUUCUCCUCCCUCCUCUCCCUCCUCCGCUCCUCCUCGCCGCCGGCCAACCCCUCCGACCUCCUCCCCGAGCUCCGCUUCUUCUCCAUCGAUCCCCUUCUCCUCCUCCCCAAAUUUGAUCCCUUUUCCCUCCAAAGAUCCCUUCUUUUGCCCCUCCACGGCCGCAACCACCCCUCCGCCCUCGCUGCCGGCGCCGGCUCCAUCCACGUCGGCCAUGGCGGAAAAAUCACCACUUUCGACUCCACCCUCUCCCGCCGUGCCACUGUGCUGACCCCUCUCCCCGCCAUCGAUUCCCUCCUCUCCAUCUCCCCUUCUUUAGUCGCCGCCGGCGCCUCCGACUUCCCCUCCGUCCAUCUCAUCAACAUCCCCUCCGGCCACGUCAACCAAACCCUAGACUGGUCCCCAACCCCUUUGAACUCUUCGCCUCCCUCCAUCGUCCAAGCCCUCACCUCCUCAUUGGACCACCUCUUCGCGAGCUUCGAAUCCUCUCGCCGUACUUCCAACGCCAUCGUCGCCUUCGACCUUAACACCUUCACGCCGGCGACGGAGAUUGCACGCGGAGAGAUUUACGGAGCCGAGCUCGACUCCGCCAUUCCCGCAACCAAGCUCAAAUGGGUGGAAAGCCUCAAGCUUUUGAUGGCUGCCGGCUCACACGCCGGGCCCUCAGGGCUCACCGGGAAUAUCCGGCUGUGGGACGUGCGCUCCGGCGCCGCCGUUUGGGAGUCGCCGGAGAAAGUUGAUUGCUUUGCUGAUGUUACUGUUUGUGAUGCCUUGUUGGGGAUUUUCAAGAUUGGAUUGUUUUCUGGUGAUGUGUUCUUCAUGGAUUUGAGGAAAAUUGGAAGUGGAGAGAGUUCUUGGAUGUGUUUAGGAGAUCAGAGAAAGGGAAUAGUGAAUGGGAGGAAGGAAGGGAAUGGUUGUAGGAUUGAGAGUUAUGGGAAUCAAGUGUUUGUUAGUAGAGGAGAAGAAGUCGAAAUGUGGUCAUCGGUGUCGAUGGCCGGAGCCGGAGAGAAAGUAAUGAAGAAGAACUUGAUGGGGAAGACCGAAAAACACGACCGGAAUAGGAUUGUGCAUAUGGCUUUCGGUUGUAACCGGAUGGUGAUUGCUCGGAAAGAUGAGCAUUGUGUUGAGGUGUGGCAGAGUUCUUGCUGAAAUCUGUCGGAAAAAUUCUUGGAGCUUUAUCAAGCAGGCACUACUGAGUUCUUGCUGAAAUCUGUCAGAAAAAUUCUUGGAGCAGUUUCAAGCAGGCACUACUGAGAUGUAAGCUAGCAAACUACAACCAUUGACACAGAUCAAAACAAAGCAAGGACUAAAAAGCCAAUCAAAAACUAAGCCCAGCUUCAGCAAUCCAGUGAGGAAAGAUGCUAACUUGUCCCGCAAAAUCGUUGCAGCAUCUCCGGGCAAUCAAACAAGUGAAGGUCGAAUAUAAUCCAUGGGAUUCUUCAGUCUCCAAGUUAAUCAAGUACUUGAUUUUGCUUGAAUUUUACUGUCAAUGUAUCAUUGAUGUGAUUUUGUUGGGAUGCAUGAAUUCCAAUUCAUACUAAUGUAGUUCUUGAUUUGAUCUUAACUUUUUUGCUACAAUUGCACCGUUAAUGUUGUUUUCAAUGAAGUAUAGAUUCAAUAUACUCAUCAAGUUUGAUUUUA
Molecule: RNA transcript, 1951 nt
Organism: Dioscorea cayenensis subsp. rotundata (Guinea yam)
Lineage: Eukaryota; Viridiplantae; Streptophyta; Magnoliopsida; Dioscoreales; Dioscoreaceae
Gene name: BTB/POZ domain-containing protein At5g41330
Exons: 3
Source: RefSeq, a predicted model, not a curated record